Molecule: ribosomal RNA, 411 nt
Filed under: uncultured microorganism
Description: bacterial SSU rRNA
Rfam family: Archaeal small subunit ribosomal RNA
Source: RNAcentral
GCGCACCAGGCGCGAACCUUCGCAAUGCGGGAAACCGCGACGAGGGACUCCCAGUGCCUACGCUCAGCGUAGGCUGUUCCCGAGCCUAGAAAGCUCGGGGAGUAAGGGCUGGGUAAGACGGGUGCCAGCCGCCGCGGUAAUACCCGCAGCCCGAGUGGUGGCCACUAUUAUUGGGCCUAAAGCGUCCGUAGCCGGCCCGGUAAAUGCCUGGGUAAAUCGUGAGGCCUAACCUCACGAAUUCCGGGUAGACUGCCGGGCUAGGGGACCGGAGGAGGGAGAGGGUACUCCAGGGGUAGGGUGAAAUCCUGUAAUCCCUGGAGGACCACCGGUGGCGAAGGCGCUCUCCCAGGACGGGUCCGACGGUGAGGGACGAAAGCCAGGGGAGCGAACCGGAUUAGAUACCCGGGUAGU